CGCACAUUGCGCCCCUUGGUAUUCCGGGGGGCAUGCCUGUUCGAGCGUCAUUUCAACCCCUCAAGCUUGGCUUGGUCAUGGGCAUCUGUUUCCACCAAACAGGCCUGAAAAUUAGUGGCGGCUUAACUAAACUUCAAGCGUAGUAAACUCAUCAGCCUCGCUCUGGACCGUUUAGCCUUUAGGCCGGCCUGACCCCCAAAUUUUUCCGUCAUUGACCUCGGAUCAGGUAGGGAUACCCGCUGAACUUAA
Molecule: unclassified non-coding RNA, 249 nt
Filed under: Chicitaea assateaguensis
Lineage: Eukaryota; Fungi; Ascomycota; Lecanoromycetes; Sarrameanales; Sarrameanaceae
Description: Loxospora assateaguensis partial contains 5.8S ribosomal RNA, internal transcribed spacer 2, and large subunit ribosomal RNA
Source: RNAcentral